GGGCUCGUAGCGCAGCACGGAUAUGAUAACUGGAGAGCGCGGCAGACCCUUGGCCGAGCCUCCUAAGCUGUAGGUCCGGGGUUCAAGUCCCCGCGAGCCCGCCA
This 104-nucleotide transfer RNA is filed under the name Nitrososphaerales archaeon. RNAcentral's name for it is "tRNA-Arg". It matches the Rfam family "tRNA". From Rfam's summary of the family: Transfer RNA (tRNA) molecules are approximately 80 nucleotides in length. Their secondary structure includes four short double-helical elements and three loops (D, anti-codon, and T loops). Further hydrogen bonds mediate the characteristic L-shaped molecular structure. tRNAs have two regions of fundamental functional importance: the anti-codon, which is responsible for specific mRNA codon recognition, and the 3' end, to which the tRNAs corresponding amino acid is attached (by aminoacyl-tRNA synthetases). tRNAs cope with the degeneracy of the genetic code in two manners: having more than one tRNA (with a specific anti-codon) for a particular amino acid; and 'wobble' base-pairing, i.e. permitting non-standard base-pairing at the 3rd anti-codon position. The record is from RNAcentral. Lineage: Archaea; Thermoproteati; Nitrososphaerota; Nitrososphaeria; Nitrososphaerales.